This 253-nucleotide ribosomal RNA is filed under the name uncultured bacterium. RNAcentral describes it as "partial 16S ribosomal RNA". It matches the Rfam family "Bacterial small subunit ribosomal RNA", at positions 524 to 776 of the family's 1533-position model. The record is from RNAcentral.
GACAGAGGAGGCAAGCGUUGUCCGGAUUAACUGGGCGUAAAGCGUCCGCAGGUGGCACGGUCAGUGGGGUGUGAAAGCCGGUGGCUUAACCGCCGGAGGCCAUCCCAAACUGCCGCGCUGGAGUCGGGCAGAGGGUGCCGGAAUUGCCGGUGUAGCGGUGAAAUGCGUAGAUAUCGGGAGGAACACCUGUGGCGAAAGCGGCGCACUGGACCACAACUGACGCUGAUGCGCGAAAGCUAGGGGAGCAAACAGG